Molecule: ribosomal RNA, 206 nt
Filed under: uncultured bacterium
Lineage: Bacteria
Description: partial 16S ribosomal RNA
Rfam family: Bacterial small subunit ribosomal RNA
Source: RNAcentral
UGCGUAGGCGGCGAGGAAAGUUUGAGGUGAAAUCUCCAGGCUCAACUUGGAAAUUGCCUUGAAGACUUCCUUGCUCGAGGGUCGUAGAGGAGACUGGAAUUCUCGGUGUAGCGGUGAAAUGCGCAGAUAUCAGGAAGAACACCCGUGGCUAAGGCGGCUCUCUAGUACGGUACUGACGCUGAGACGCGAAAGCGUGGGAGCGAACA